CUCUUCCCGCCCCCCCCCCAGGUCUUUAUUUGAUUUGUCCCUCCCGUCCCCUGGUCUCUCCCACCCCCCAGGUCUUUAUGGAAGAGUUUCUACGACCUGGGAUGUAUCCCAAAUAGCAACUAGUUCCCGAUGUAGUGGACUAUAUACAGAAUAGUGAACCGUUAUGGACACACACACACAAUAUAUACCAUCUGAUUAGAUAUGUAUUCUAGAGUGAAAAUACCAUCUAUUCAUAUCAGAUAUACAUUCUCUAGAGUGAAAAUGUGUAGGAGGAGGACGAAAAGCACUAUCGAGAUGUGAAUGAAUGUUACUCUGCUGUCAACAGACUGAGCUAGACUGACCUAGAGGUAGUUGUGGGUCUAUAUUACUCUGCUGUCAACAGACUGACCUAGAGGUAGUUGUGGGUCUAUAUUACUCUGCUGUCAACAGACUGACCUAGAGGUAGUUGUGGGUCUAUAUUACUCUGCUGUCAACAGACUGACCUAGAGGUAGUUGUGGGUCUAUAUUACUCUGCUGUCAACAGACUGAGCUAGACUGACCUAGAGGUAGUUGUGGGUCUAUAUUUUGCAAAAGUACUUCCCAAAAUUCACCAGAUUUCCAGAAAUCCCAGGUUGUAGGAUUCCCAGAUUUCCCUUCUUGAUUUUAGGAAUCUGGGAUAAAAAAAUAAAAAAUAAAAUAUAUAUAUAUAUAUAUAUAUAUAAAUAAAAAUAAGUUUCCAGAGUUGUUCAACCCUAGAGGUAGUAGGGGGCCCCCCAUGUCUUAUGGCACCUGCAUUAAUUAUAUUUCCACAAUUAUGACAAUCUGUGAAUAUUGUUGUUAGUUGAGCUGGACUGGGGGUAGAGAUGCACUGGAUGGUGUUACGUAUUGGAUUUAAAAGGUUUGAUGCAUUGCACUGUGAAGAUUCAUCCAUCUGUUACUUGGUUUACUGCAAUGACCUCUGUUUAAUUUAAACUACCAGCUGAAUGAAUACCGGAGGGACAUUUUUAAUUUUUUCCCCUCUGUUGUUUUGAAGACAAUACUAAAAAAAAUAAAAAUUCUGCAAAAAAAAAAUAAAUGUUCUCCAUUUUCUUUGUUCUUCACUUUUAGUUUAUUUUUUUUACCCAGAAAUCAAAGGUGCUUCAAAUGUGGAUCACUUUAUAUUAAGGGUCUGUAAUUUAUAUCAAGGGUCUGUAAUUUAUAUUAAGGUUUAUAUUAAGGGUCUGUAAUUUAUAUUAAGGGUCUGUAGUUUAUAUUAAGGGUCUAUAAUUUAUAUUAAGGGUCUGUAGUUUAUAUUAAGGGUCUGUAAUUUAUAUUAAGGGUCUGUAGUUUAUAUUAAGGGUCAGUUUGCUCAUUGCUGCUCAUUGUUA
Oncorhynchus tshawytscha (Chinook salmon) is the source of this 1346-nucleotide long non-coding RNA. The record is from Ensembl. Lineage: Eukaryota; Metazoa; Chordata; Actinopteri; Salmoniformes; Salmonidae.